AACCUCCGCAAUGUGAGAAAUCGCGACGGGGGGAUCCCAAGUGCCAUUCUUAACGGGAUGGCUUUUCAUUAGUGUAAAGAGCUUUUGGAAUAAGAGCUGGGCAAGACCGGUGCCAGCCGCCGCGGUAACACCGGCAGCUCUAGUGGUAACAAUUUUUAUUGGGCCUAAAGCGUCCGUAGCCGGUUUAAUAAGUCUCUGGUGAAAUCCUGUAGCUUAACUGUGGGAAUUGCUGGAGAUACUAUUAGACUUGAGACCGGGAGAGGUUAGAGGUACUCCCAGGGUAGAGGUGAAAUUCUGUAAUCCUGGGAGGACCGCCUGUUGCGAAGGCGUCUAACUGGAACGGUUCUGACGGUGAGGGACGAAAGUUAGGGGCGCGAACCGGAUUAGAUACCCGGGUAGUCCUAACUGUAAACGAUGCGGACUUGGUGUUGGGGUGGCUUUGAGCUGCUCAGUGCCGAAGGAGCUGUUAAGUCCGCGCCGUGGGAAGUACGGUCGCAAGACUGAAACUUAAAGGAAUU
RNAcentral lists this ribosomal RNA (518 nucleotides) under uncultured bacterium. RNAcentral's name for it is "bacterial SSU rRNA". It matches the Rfam family "Archaeal small subunit ribosomal RNA", at positions 345 to 866 of the family's 1478-position model. The record is from RNAcentral.